RNAcentral lists this transfer RNA (71 nucleotides) under Loxodonta africana (African savanna elephant). It matches the Rfam family "tRNA". Rfam says of the family: Transfer RNA (tRNA) molecules are approximately 80 nucleotides in length. Lineage: Eukaryota; Metazoa; Chordata; Mammalia; Proboscidea; Elephantidae. The record is from Rfam by way of RNAcentral.
AUAUUGGUUGUUCAGUGGUAGAAUUCUCACCUUCCAUGUGGGAGACCUGGGUUCCAUUCCUGGCCAAUGCA